RNAcentral lists this transfer RNA (70 nucleotides) under human gut metagenome. It matches the Rfam family "tRNA". From Rfam's summary of the family: Transfer RNA (tRNA) molecules are approximately 80 nucleotides in length. Their secondary structure includes four short double-helical elements and three loops (D, anti-codon, and T loops). Further hydrogen bonds mediate the characteristic L-shaped molecular structure. tRNAs have two regions of fundamental functional importance: the anti-codon, which is responsible for specific mRNA codon recognition, and the 3' end, to which the tRNAs corresponding amino acid is attached (by aminoacyl-tRNA synthetases). tRNAs cope with the degeneracy of the genetic code in two manners: having more than one tRNA (with a specific anti-codon) for a particular amino acid; and 'wobble' base-pairing, i.e. permitting non-standard base-pairing at the 3rd anti-codon position. The record is from RNAcentral. RNAcentral also lists the same sequence under 2 other names.
ACCUUUAGCUCAGUUGGUUAGAGCAACCGGCUCAUAACCGGUUGGUCCGGGGUUCGAGUCCCUGAAGGUC